This 406-nucleotide ribosomal RNA is filed under the name uncultured bacterium. RNAcentral's name for it is "partial 16S ribosomal RNA". It matches the Rfam family "Bacterial small subunit ribosomal RNA", at positions 30 to 526 of the family's 1533-position model. The record is from RNAcentral.
AUUGAACGCUGGCGGCAGGCCUAACACAUGCAAGUCGAGCGAGCGGCGGACGGGUGAGUAAUGUAUGGGGAUCUGCCCGAUAGAGGGGGAGAACUACUGGAAACGGUGGCUAAUAACGCAUACUAUCGGAUGAACCCAUAUGGGAUUAGCUAGUAGGUGGGGUAAAGGCUCACCUAGGCGACGAUCUCUAGCUGGUCUGAGAGGAUGAUCAGCCACCCUGGAUCUGAGACACGGCACAGACUCCUACGGGAUGCAGGAGUGGGGAGUAUUGCACUAUGGGCUGAAGCCUGAUGCAGCCCUGCCGCGUGUAUGAAAAGGGCAUUAGGGUUUUAAAGGACUUUCAGCGGGAAGGCGUUACCCGAAGAAGAAGCACCGGCUAACUCCGUGCCAGCAGCCGCGGUAAUAC